RNAcentral lists this ribosomal RNA (207 nucleotides) under uncultured bacterium. RNAcentral describes it as "partial 16S ribosomal RNA". It matches the Rfam family "Bacterial small subunit ribosomal RNA", at positions 568 to 774 of the family's 1533-position model. The record is from RNAcentral.
CGCGUAGGCCGUUGAGUUAGUUAAUUGUGAAAUCCCAAAGCUUAACUUUGGAACUGCAAUUAAAACUGCUCGACUAGAGUUUGAUAGAGGAAAGCGGAAUACAUAGUGUAGAGGUGAAAUUCGUAGAUAUUAUGUAGAACACCAGUUGCGAAGGCGGCUUUCUGGAUCAACACUGACGCUGAGGGGCGAAAGUAUGGGUAGCAAAGA